Molecule: ribosomal RNA, 525 nt
Filed under: Triticum aestivum (bread wheat)
Lineage: Eukaryota; Viridiplantae; Streptophyta; Magnoliopsida; Poales; Poaceae
Description: partial small subunit ribosomal RNA
Source: RNAcentral
AUGAAGAGGGCCGCGCCGUCGGAGGAGCCGGUGGAGCUCUCUUCCGGCGACGACCUGAGCUCGGAUUCCGACGAUGAGGCCGGGAACGGGAAAGGCGAGAACUCCUUCCGGCUGCCCAUGUCCUCCAAAUCUGCAGCUCCAGCAAAAGGUGCAUUGAUCAGGAGGGCUGAAAUGUAUCAAGAGUACAUGAAGCACAUCCCAAUUCCUGAUCACUGCAGCUCCUUGAUCCCAUCCACAUCAUGGCUGGGACUCGGAAGAUCGGUGAAGCAGUUGUACGAGCAGCCCUUGCAUUACCUCACCAACAUCCUCUUGAGACAGUGGGAUCAACAGAGGGUUGGGAGCGAUAAUGAGCACCAGCCUCUGGAUGCUAUCAUUCACCCUAUGAAAGCUCAAGCCCUCAUUUGGGCCACUGAAGAAGUCCAUAGGCUGACCACCUCUAGUGACCACUUAGAGAAGGUCUGGGCUAAAGACCCCAUGUAUCAUGCUAACAUAGAUCCAGUGUUCCCUUCCCUAAAGUUGCAUUAG